UGGCGGUGGCGGAGGACAUGGCGACUGGCGGCUGUGGUCCGCCACUGGGUGCCUUGGCGGUUGGCGGUUCCGCCGCCGGCACC
Molecule: transfer RNA, 83 nt
Filed under: Streptomyces sp. NE5-10
Lineage: Bacteria; Bacillati; Actinomycetota; Actinomycetes; Kitasatosporales; Streptomycetaceae
Description: tRNA-His
Source: RNAcentral